This 1781-nucleotide unclassified non-coding RNA is filed under the name Polistes dominula (European paper wasp). Its description in RNAcentral is "regulator of G-protein signaling 7, transcript variant X2". The record is from RNAcentral. Lineage: Eukaryota; Metazoa; Arthropoda; Insecta; Hymenoptera; Vespidae.
AAAAAAAAAAAUCCGUGAGAAUGGAGAAAAUGAGAAAAUCGUUGAAAUCAAGGAUUACGAGAAUAACGAUGAUGCGAAGUUUUCAAAUGCGUCUUAUUGGAAGAUCGAUCAUAUCGUUUUAUCGAACUACGGUUAAAGUCGAGUAGGAAGGAAAAAGUAAAAAUAUACUAAUAACAAAAAAAAAAGAAAAAGAAGAAGAAGAAGAAAAGUCGAGCCUUAUAUUCUUUUUUUUUUUUCUCUCUCUACGAGAAAAAUCCUUCGACGACUGCAAUGCGCGCGCGGUGAAACUACGAGCCACUAUACUAACACUACUGUGUUUUAUAUCACGAAUCAUUGUAUCAUCUUAACACGUAUAAUAUGGUAACUAUGAGCUCCGAAAAAUCGGCAUCCCGCCGAAAACCAAUAGAAAAUAACGAUACGAGAGAAUCUUCCGAUCAAAUUGGAGAAAGGGAAGAUAAUAAUCGUACCGAGGAGGAGAAUGUUGAAAAACAUAAUACACCCACGCAUCGUGUCACUGCCUGUUGCGCUGAAGAUACACCAAAUUAUCUCGUCUAUAAAAAGAUGGAAUCAUUGGUUGAAAAAAUGUUAAACGAAUCUACAGGUGUUCCUGUAAAAACAGUUAAAAGUUUUAUGACCAAAACUCCAUCCGUUUUUACAGGUACCGAUUUGAUAUCGUGGAUGAUGAAAACUAUGGAUAUUGAUGAUCAAGAAUCUCUUCACGUGGCACAUCUCAUGGCAUGUCAUGGUUAUUUUUUCCCCAUUGACGAUCAUUGUCUUACCGUUAAAAAUGACAACACAUUUUAUAGAUUUCAAACGCCUUAUUUUUGGCCAUCUAAUUCUUGGGAACCAGAAAAUACCGAUUACGCCGUUUAUUUAUGCAAAAGAACGAUGCAGAAUAAAACUCGUCUUGAAUUGGCUGAUUACGAGGCCGAGAAUUUAGCUAGGUUGCAAAAAAUAUUUUCACGAAAGUGGGAGUUCAUUUUUAUGCAAGCGGAAGCACAAAGCAAAGUCGAUAAAAAGAGGGAUAAAUUGGAAAGGAAAGUGUUGGAUAGUCAGGAAAGGGCAUUCUGGGAUGUACAUCGGCCGAUGCCUGGUUGUGUAAAUACAACGGAACUCGAUAUCAAAAAAGAAUGCCGCAGUCAAAAACCAAACUUCAGAUCGAGCAAAUAUUUGAAACAUGGUGAAAAGGCUUCUCCUCAUUCGGAAUCUUAUUUAGCAGCUUCGAUAGAAUCUUUGCAAAAGGAGAUUGACAUGUUGAAAGAUAGAUUGGAUAGAAGAAACAUCAAAGUAUCCAAAGUUGCGGAAGCUCUUAUAGGAUAUUUCGAACAGUAUGCCGAGUAUGAUCCAUUUUUUACACAACCUGAGUUUACCAAUCCAUGGGUAUCGGAUAGUUCGGAAAUGUGGGAACAAGAAAAAAUAGCGAAAGAAGUGUCUACGAGAAGAGUCAAAAGAUGGGCGUUUGGUCUUCAAGAAUUGUUACAAGAUCCUAUUGGUAGAGAACAAUUUAUACGAUUUUUGGAAAAAGAAUUCAGCAGUGAAAAUCUCAAAAAGAUGUUAACGUUAAGGCUGGAGAAAUUUGGAACGAAUUUUUAUGCCCAGAUGCGAGCUGUCCAAUCAACGUCGAUUCCAGAUCCUUCGAAAUAACAAAAAGAAAUCUUGAAAAACCUGAUCGUUGGUGUUUCGACAUAGCUGCGGCACACGUUUAUCAUUUAAUGAAAAGCGAUAGUUAUUCGAGAUAUCUUCGUUCCGAGAUGUACAAAGAUUUCCUCAACGGUUCGAAG